CGCGUAGGCGGCUCAUCAAGUCGGGGGUGAAAUACUUCAGCUUAACUGGAGAAGUGCCUUCGAUACUGGUGGGCUUGAGGGAGGUAGGGGUCUUUGGAACUUCUGGUGGAGCGGUGAAAUGCGUUGAUAUCAGAAGGAACGCCGGUGGCGAAAGCGAAGGACUGGACCUCUUCUGACGCUGAGGCGCGAAAGCUAGGGGAGCAAACG
Molecule: ribosomal RNA, 207 nt
Filed under: uncultured bacterium
Lineage: Bacteria
Description: partial 16S ribosomal RNA
Rfam family: Bacterial small subunit ribosomal RNA
Source: RNAcentral